RNAcentral lists this ribosomal RNA (200 nucleotides) under uncultured bacterium. Its description in RNAcentral is "partial 16S ribosomal RNA". It matches the Rfam family "Bacterial small subunit ribosomal RNA", at positions 28 to 243 of the family's 1533-position model. The record is from RNAcentral.
GAUGAACGCUAGCGGCAGGCUUAAUACAUGCAAGUCGAGGGGCAGCAAUGUCACCGGCGAACGGGUGCGUAACGCGUAUGCAACCUACCCAUAUCAGGGGGAUAGCCCUAGGAAACUGGGAUUAACACCGCAUAAUAUAUUUCACGGCAUCGUGAUUUAUUAAAAUAUUUAUAGGAUAUGGAUGGGCAUGCGUAGGAUUA